RNAcentral lists this ribosomal RNA (415 nucleotides) under uncultured Lactobacillus sp. RNAcentral describes it as "bacterial SSU rRNA". It matches the Rfam family "Bacterial small subunit ribosomal RNA", at positions 136 to 525 of the family's 1533-position model. The record is from RNAcentral. Lineage: Bacteria; Bacillati; Bacillota; Bacilli; Lactobacillales; Lactobacillaceae.
UCUGGGGAUACCAUUUGGAAAACAGAUGCUAAUACCGGAUAAAAGCUACUUUCGCAUGAAAGAAGUUUAAAAGGCGGCGUAAAGCUGUCGCUAAAAGGGAUGGACCUGCGAUGCAUUAGCUAGUUGGUAAGGUAACGGGCUUACCAAGGCGAUGAUGCAUAGCCCGAGUUGAGAGACUGAUCGGGCCACAUUGGGGACUGAGACACGGGCCCAAACUCCUACGGGAGGCAGCAGUAGGGAAUCUUCCACAAUGGACGAAAGUCUGAUGGAGCAAACGCCGCGUGAGUGAAGGAGGUUUUCGGAUCGUAAAGCUCUGUUGUUGGUGAAGAAGGAUAGAGGUAGUAACUGGCCCUUUAUUUGACGGUAAUCAACCAGAAAGUCACGGGCUAACUACGUGCCAGCAGCCGCGGUAAAU